UAACUGAAUCCUUGAUGUGCCAUCGAGGAUAACGUAAGGGAAAAUAAUGAUAUUACCUUACUAUUAGUGUCGUCCAAAUGCUCGUGCCAGAAGACUCGGUAAGGCGAGAGACGCAAACGUUAGUCGUCUUGAUCAGGCGUAAAGGGUUUGUAGGCGGCUUUAAGUAUCCAAUUUAAUGUUUACUAUUAUAAUAUUUACAAGUUAUAAUUUUUAUUAAAGGAUCAAUUAAAGCUAGAAUCUAGAAGAGGUGAAUACAAUGCUUGAGCUUAGGAGUACUAACCGCAAACAUCAAGUAGAGUGCUAAAGGCGAAGGCAGUUUUCCAAUAAAGAUUGACGUUGAGAAACGAAGGUGAGGAAAGAAAAAAGGAUUAGAGACCCUUGUAUCCCUCACUGUCAACGAUGAAUGGUAGUUACUAGGGAGAAAUGACGUAGAGGCGAUGUUAACACGUAAACCAUUCCGCCUUGUGAGUACGACUGCAAAGUUGAAAACAAAAAAAUU
RNAcentral lists this ribosomal RNA (499 nucleotides) under Leifia brevispora. Its description in RNAcentral is "SSU rRNA". It matches the Rfam family "Bacterial small subunit ribosomal RNA", at positions 406 to 910 of the family's 1533-position model. The record is from RNAcentral. Lineage: Eukaryota; Fungi; Basidiomycota; Agaricomycetes; Hymenochaetales.